RNAcentral lists this long non-coding RNA (262 nucleotides) under Gallus gallus (chicken). The record is from RNAcentral. Lineage: Eukaryota; Metazoa; Chordata; Aves; Galliformes; Phasianidae.
CGUUCAGAAACAGAUUCACUGGAGACAGCACGAGUUGAAGCAUUGUUUCUCUAAAUCCUUUCUUCAUCUCAAAGCACAACCUCUCCAAGAAAGCUGUAGGGCACUCAGGACCAUCGGGACUACAAUGCACUGGCAAUCGCCCGUGCACUUUGUACAAAUUAACAAGGACAGUAAUAUCCCACGGACGUAGAGUAAGAGGGUGGACUGGUUUGACUGAGCUUUCAUUUUCCUUCUUUUCAUUUUCUACUCCCACAGCUGUCCA